GAGUUUGAUCCUGGCUCAGGACGAACGCUGGCGGCGUGCCUAAUACAUGCAAGUAGAACGCUGAAGAGAGGAGCUUGCUCUUCUUGGAUGAGUUGCGAACGGGUGAGUAACGCGUAGGUAACCUGCCUUGUAGCGGGGGAUAACUAUUGGAAACGAUAGCUAAUACCGCAUAACAAUGGAUGACACAUGUCAUUUAUUUGAAAGGGGCAAUUGCUCCACUACAAGAUGGACCUGCGUUGUAUUAGCUAGUAGGUGAGGUAAUGGCUCACCUAGGCGACGAUACAUAGCCGACCUGAGAGGGUGAUCGGCCACACUGGGACUGAGACACGGCCCAGACUCCUACGGGAGGCAGCAGUAGGGAAUCUUCGGCAAUGGGGGCAACCCUGACCGAGCAACGCCGCGUGAGUGAAGAAGGUUUUCGGAUCGUAAAGCUCUGUUGUAAGUCAAGAACGGGUGUGAGAGUGGAAAGUUCACACUAUGACGGUAGCUUACCAGAAAGGGACGGCUAACUACGUGCCAGCAGCCGCGGUAAUACGUAGGUCCCGAGCGUUGUCCGGAUUUAUUGGGCGUAAAGCGAGCGCAGGCGGUUUGAUAAGUCUGAAGUUAAAGGCUGUGGCUCAACCAUAGUUCGCUUUGGAAACUGUCAAACUUGAGUGCAGAAGGGGAGAGUGGAAUUCCAUGUGUAGCGGUGAAAUGCGUAGAUAUAUGGAGGAACACCGGUGGCGAAAGCGGCUCUCUGGUCUGUAACUGACGCUGAGGCUCGAAAGCGUGGGGAGCGAACAGGAUUAGAUACCCUGGUAGUCCACGCCGUAAACGAUGAGUGCUAGGUGUUGGAUCCUUUCCGGGAUUCAGUGCCGCAGCUAACGCAUUAAGCACUCCGCCUGGGGAGUACGACCGCAAGGUUGAAACUCAAAGGAAUUGACGGGGGCCCGCACAAGCGGUGGAGCAUGUGGUUUAAUUCGAAGCAACGCGAAGAACCUUACCAGGUCUUGACAUCCCGAUGCUAUUUCUAGAGAUAGAAAGUUACUUCGGUACAUCGGUGACAGGUGGUGCAUGGUUGUCGUCAGCUCGUGUCGUGAGAUGUUGGGUUAAGUCCCGCAACGAGCGCAACCCCUAUUGUUAGUUGCCAUCAUUCAGUUGGGCACUCUAGCGAGACUGCCGGUAAUAAACCGGAGGAAGGUGGGGAUGACGUCAAAUCAUCAUGCCCCUUAUGACCUGGGCUACACACGUGCUACAAUGGUUGGUACAACGAGUUGCGAGUCGGUGACGGCGAGCUAAUCUCUUAAAGCCAAUCUCAGUUCGGAUUGUAGGCUGCAACUCGCCUACAUGAAGUCGGAAUCGCUAGUAAUCGCGGAUCAGCACGCCGCGGUGAAUACGUUCCCGGGCCUUGUACACACCGCCCGUCACACCACGAGAGUUUGUAACACCCGAAGUCGGUGAGGUAACCUUUUGGAGCCAGCCGCCUAAGGUGGGACAGAUGAUUGGGGUGAAGUCGUAACAAGGUAGCCGUAUCGGAAGGUGCGGCUGGAUCAC
RNAcentral lists this ribosomal RNA (1533 nucleotides) under Streptococcus thermophilus. Its description in RNAcentral is "bacterial SSU rRNA". It matches the Rfam family "Bacterial small subunit ribosomal RNA". Lineage: Bacteria; Bacillati; Bacillota; Bacilli; Lactobacillales; Streptococcaceae. The record is from RNAcentral.